This is a long non-coding RNA of Calidris pugnax (ruff), 450 nucleotides long. RefSeq lists it as uncharacterized. NCBI's taxonomy places the organism in Eukaryota, Metazoa, Chordata, Aves, Charadriiformes, Scolopacidae. The transcript is spliced from 3 exons. The record is from RefSeq and is a predicted model, not a curated record.
UCAAGUGGGUGGCUGGCAGCUCGCAUGCGGUGCCUUUCUGCCUCCUCCUCCUCCUCUGCCUCUCCUGGUGGAGUGGGGAGAGCCAGGGCUCCAGAAGACGUCAACGAUGGUGCUUAAAGAGAAGUUUGCUCCAUUGAUCCUGUCAAAUAUCUCCUUGAAAGUUCUGAAUGGAAAACAUCCUGCUUAUCUCUAAUCAAAGCUGGGUUUUCUCUGCCUCUGGGCCAAAACACUGCAACAGGCUUGGCUGUUGCGGGAGUGGUGGAUGCUGAGCUGACAUGGGGUUGCCUGCUGCCUUUCCAGGCAUGGGGAGAACCUGAAAACCAGCCUCUUCCCACUGUGCCACUGGCUGCAAGCCCUGGACACCGAUCUGAGGGGUGUCCCUCUGCCCUUGACUCCUUGCCAGGCAUGGCUGGCUAGAAACACACCUCCAGAUGGAGCAGGCUAGGAAAG